Coniella lustricola is the source of this 92-nucleotide non-coding RNA. Lineage: Eukaryota; Fungi; Ascomycota; Sordariomycetes; Diaporthales; Schizoparmaceae. The record is from the annotation of a GenBank genome assembly.
GCCCGGCUAGCUCAAUCGGUAGAGCGUAAGACUCUUAGUACUCUUACAACGUCUAAAUCUUAAGGCUGUGGGUUCGACCCCCACGUCGGGCU